Molecule: unclassified non-coding RNA, 1617 nt
Filed under: Hevea brasiliensis (rubber tree)
Lineage: Eukaryota; Viridiplantae; Streptophyta; Magnoliopsida; Malpighiales; Euphorbiaceae
Source: RNAcentral
UUAGAGGAGAAGGAGAGAUUGUGAGGAAUUUCCUGCUUCAUACCUUGCAAUUGCAGAGUUGGGAGAAAACAGUUGAUUGCUAUAGUCCGGGACAGGGGUUGAUGCCUGCUAGUUUUAAAGUCAGAACUGUGCCUCUUGAUGGCAAUAAAUUUGAAGAAGUUCUAGAUCCAGAUUUUGGCGAAUCAGCUAUUGGCCGUGUCGCACCUGUGGAUUCUGGGUUGUGGUGGAUUAUUUUACUGAGGGCAUAUGGGAAAAUUACUGGUGACUGACACAUUGCAAGAAAGGGUGGAUGUUCAGACAGGCAUAAAACUGAUCUUAAACUUGUGCUUAACUGAUGGGUUUGAUAUGUUUCCUUCUCUGUUGGUCACUGAUGGCUCUUGCAUGAUAGAUCGACGAAUGGGUAUUCAUGGUCACCCCCUUGAGAUCCAAGCCUUAUUCUACUCUGCUCUGCGUUGCUCUCGUGAGAUGCUGACUGUAAAUGAUGGGUCCAAGAAUUUGGUGAGGGCCAUUAACAACAGACUCAGUGCACUGUCGUUUCAUAUUAGAGAAUACUAUUGGGUGGAUAUCAAAAAGAUCAAUGAGAUUUACCGGUAUAAAACGGAAGAGUAUUCCAUGGAUGCCACCAACAAGUUCAAUAUCUAUCCUGAACAAAUUCCUUCUUGGCUCAUGGAUUGGAUACCAGAGGAAGGUGGGUAUCUUAUUGGGAACCUACAGCCAGCACACAUGGAUUUUAGGUUUUUCACUCUCGGAAAUCUUUGGUCUAUUAUUUCGUCUUUGGGUACCCCAAAACAAAAUAAAGCUAUUCUAAAUUUGAUUGAAGCUAAAUGGGAUGAUAUUGUUGGACGUAUGCCUCUUAAAAUAUGUUACCCUGCACUGGAGAAUGAGGAUUGGCGUAUAAUCACUGGCAGUGACCCAAAGAAUACCCCUUGGUCAUAUCAUAAUGGUGGAUCGUGGCCAACACUUCUUUGGCAGUUCACAUUGGCAUGCAUCAAGAUGGGCAGACUAGAACUAGCCCAGAAGGCAGUAGCUUUGGCUGAAAAAAGACUUGCAGUUGACCGCUGGCCUGAGUAUUAUGACACACGUACAGGAAAGUUCAUCGGAAAACAAUCUCGACUUUGUCAAACAUGGACAAUUGCUGGGUUCCUGACGUCAAAAGUUCUCUUAGAGAAUCCACAGAUGGCAUCAAUGUUAUUAUGGGAGGAAGACUAUGAGCUUCUUGAAAUCUGUGUUUGUGCACUUAGCAAGACUGGCCGGAAGAAGUGCUCUCGAGUUGCUGCUAAGUCGCAGAUUCUUGUGUAGAGGGUGACAGCCAUUCUGUUAAAUGCAAGAAUGAAUCUGUUAGUUCUGUACAGCUUGGAGUUUAGGAGAGGCUUACAAGAGUCCUAUAAAUGAGGAAUUUUGAACCUCUCUAUUGUAACGUAUGCUAGCAAUUUCUUACAACACUGUAUGAAAGUCUUGUUCUACUGAUCCGAUUAAUUAGCUAAGUUGAUUGGUCAUAGAAUUUUGAAGUACUAGGGUUUAGUUGAGGGACCUUUACAAGUUUAUAUUGCGGUUCCUUACAUAGCCACUUUGUACAUUACUAAAUUAUUUUUUAUAAAAAAUGACAUUUAAUAAUAA